Mus musculus (house mouse) is the source of this 297-nucleotide long non-coding RNA. RefSeq annotates it as predicted gene, 40295. The transcript has 3 exons. Lineage: Eukaryota; Metazoa; Chordata; Mammalia; Rodentia; Muridae. The record is from RefSeq and is a predicted model, not a curated record.
UCAACUUGGAGCUAUUGCAGGAGUGGAUAAAACCCAUACUGAGUCUGACACCUGUACUCCAGCCUGAACUCAAAGGUCCAAAGCAAAUCCUCGUCCAUCGUCCAGCCAACCUUUACUGGAGAUACCCUCCCAGCUUGAAGGUGUAAUUUACCAUGACACACCGGUUGGAGCCUGAAGCAGCUGGUUGGUCACAUGGUGUCCAUGGUCAAGAAGAGAAUAAUGUAUGCUGGUGCCCAGCUAACUUUCUUCUUUUGAUGUAGUCCAGGAUCCAAACAGAGUUUUAGAGUGAUUCUUCUC